GCAUCGGUGGUUUAGUGGUAAAAUUAGCCGUUGCCAUCUAUUAAAGAUCAAUUCGGCUAGCCCCGGGUUCGAUUCCCGGCCGAUGCA
This 87-nucleotide transfer RNA is filed under the name Clathrospora elynae. It matches the Rfam family "tRNA". From Rfam's summary of the family: Transfer RNA (tRNA) molecules are approximately 80 nucleotides in length. Their secondary structure includes four short double-helical elements and three loops (D, anti-codon, and T loops). Further hydrogen bonds mediate the characteristic L-shaped molecular structure. tRNAs have two regions of fundamental functional importance: the anti-codon, which is responsible for specific mRNA codon recognition, and the 3' end, to which the tRNAs corresponding amino acid is attached (by aminoacyl-tRNA synthetases). tRNAs cope with the degeneracy of the genetic code in two manners: having more than one tRNA (with a specific anti-codon) for a particular amino acid; and 'wobble' base-pairing, i.e. permitting non-standard base-pairing at the 3rd anti-codon position. The record is from Rfam by way of RNAcentral. Lineage: Eukaryota; Fungi; Ascomycota; Dothideomycetes; Pleosporales; Diademaceae.